AUUUAUUUAGUAUACAAUAGUACCCUUGAUUUCCAAUCAAAAAGUCUAAUAAAUUAGAAUAAAUA
RNAcentral lists this transfer RNA (65 nucleotides) under Pachymantis bicingulata. Its description in RNAcentral is "tRNA-Gly". The record is from RNAcentral. Lineage: Eukaryota; Metazoa; Arthropoda; Insecta; Mantodea; Hymenopodidae.